This 481-nucleotide ribosomal RNA is filed under the name uncultured bacterium. RNAcentral describes it as "partial 16S ribosomal RNA". It matches the Rfam family "Bacterial small subunit ribosomal RNA", at positions 28 to 507 of the family's 1533-position model. The record is from RNAcentral.
GAUGAACGCUGGCGGCGUGCUUAACACAUGCAAGUCGAACGAAGCAUUUGCGACAGAUUUUUUCGGAAUGAAGUUGCUUAUGACUGAGUGGCGGACGGGUGAGUAACGCGUGGGUAACCUGCCUUGUACUGGGGGAUAGCAGCUGGAAACGGCUGGUAAUACCGCAUAAGCGCACAAUGUUGCAUGACAUGGUGUGAAAAACUCCGGUGGUAUAAGAUGGACCCGCGUCUGAUUAGCUAGUUGGUGAGAUAACAGCCCACCAAGGCGACGAUCAGUAGCCGACCUGAGAGGGUGACCGGCCACAUUGGGACUGAGACACGGCCCAGACUCCUACGGGAGGCAGCAGUGGGGUAUAUUGCACAAUGGAGGAAACUCUGAUGCAGCGACGCCGCGUGAGUGAAGAAGUAAUUCGUUAUGUAAAGCUCUAUCAGCAGGGAAGAUAGUGACGGUACCUGACUAAGAAGCUCCGGCUAAAUACGUG